CCAAUAGCGUAUAUUAAAGUUGUUGCAGUUAAAAAGCUCGUAGUUGAAUUUCGGGAUCAAAUUGUCGGUCGUGCCUCGGUACGCACUGGUAUUAUUGGUUCCUACCUUCUGAAGAACCGCGAUGUCAUUAAUUUGGUGUCGUGGGGAAUCAGGACUGUUACUUUGAAAAAAUUAGAGUGUUUAAAGCAGGCUUACGCUUGAAUACAUUAGCAUGGAAUAAUGAAAUAGGACGUUUGAUUCUAUUUUGUUGGUUUCUAGGAUUGACGUAAUGAUUAAUAGGGAUAGUUGGGGGCAUUAGUAUUCAAUUGUCAGAGGUGAAAUUCUUGGAUUUAUUGAAGACUAACUACUGCGAAAGCAUUUGCCAAGGAUGUUUUCAUUAAUCAAGAACGAAAGUUAGGGGAUCGAAGACGAUCAGAUACCGUCGUAGUCUUAACCAUAAACUAUGCCGACUAGGGAUCGGAUGAUGUUAAUUUUUUAAUGACUCAUUCGGCGCCUUAC
RNAcentral lists this ribosomal RNA (498 nucleotides) under uncultured Glomeromycotina. RNAcentral describes it as "partial small subunit ribosomal RNA". It matches the Rfam family "Eukaryotic small subunit ribosomal RNA", at positions 591 to 1091 of the family's 1831-position model. The record is from RNAcentral. Lineage: Eukaryota; Fungi; Glomeromycota.